CUGGCUCAGGAUGAACGCUGGCGGCGUGCUUAACACAUGCAAGUCGAACGAAGCAACUUCUGCUGCAAGAAGUUGACUUAGUGGCGGACGGGUGAGUAACGCGUGGGUAACCUGCCUCAGUACAGGGGGGAUAACAGUUGGAAACGACUGCUAAGACCGCAUAACCCGCUAGUGUCGCAUGACACGGACGGAAAAUAUUUAUAGGUAUGAGAUGGGCCCGCGUCUGAUUAGCUAGUUGGUAAGGUAACGGCUUACCAAGGCGACGAUCAGUAGCCGACUUGAGAGAGUGAUCGGCCACAUUGGGACUGAGACACGGCCCAAACUCCUACGGGAGGCAGCAGUGGGGAAUAUUGGACAAUGGGGGAAACCCUGAUCCAAGCGACGCCGCGUGAGUGAAGAAGUAUUUCGGUAUGUAAAGCUCUAUCAGCAGGGAAGAUAAUGACAGUACCUGACGAAGAAGCCCCGGCUAACUACGUGCCAGCCGCUGC
Molecule: ribosomal RNA, 488 nt
Filed under: uncultured bacterium
Lineage: Bacteria
Description: bacterial SSU rRNA
Rfam family: Bacterial small subunit ribosomal RNA
Source: RNAcentral